This 1224-nucleotide long non-coding RNA is filed under the name Anser brachyrhynchus (Pink-footed goose). Its description in RNAcentral is "lncRNA (ENSABRG00000001481.1)". The record is from RNAcentral. Lineage: Eukaryota; Metazoa; Chordata; Aves; Anseriformes; Anatidae.
AAAACAGAGACGAGUGAGCAGAGCAUUUUUCAGGUUUUACCCGAAAUGCUUUGCACAAAUCCUUACAUCAUUUAGGAUGUUGUUCAUUGCUAAAACAGAACUCAGUGUUCACAGACACUUUAAUAUACAGCUGAACAUAUAAUUAAUUUUAUUUUCCAUCUGAUAGGUGUACAGGGGGAAAAAAGGUCAAAAUAAAAACUUCCACACUAUUUGGCAAACCUAAAUAAUUAAUUUCUGUUUUGGUCUUAUUUAUUUAUUUGUUUUAAAUAAAGGAAGGCAUUGGUUUCUUAAAAGAACUCAGGUGUCGUUCAUAAAUGCAUCAAGGAGGAAGAGGAGGAGCGAUUCUGCAGGGCCUCUGCGUGAGGAUGCCAAUGGAUGGAGCAGCUCAGCUUCUUUCUAUAAUUUACUGCCACCAUGGCUGUGAAGGUCCAUGCAUAUUUCUGAAAUGAGAGAGUCCGAACACAGCUCCAUCAGGGGUCAGCAGGCAUGAAACAAGGAGCGAAGUCCUACACAUGCACAUCAGGCUGCAGGAGCUGAGAUGCUGGGGCUACAGCCCUGCAGUUUAGGGGUACGGGUUGCUGGGAUUGUCCUUUUUUCUACCCUGCAGCAGGGGGUAGAAGAGCAGGUCAGCUCUCAUCCUCUCGAAGCAUGAGGACUGGGGCCAUGGAAGGAAGGAGCUGCAGUGCCUGUGCAGCCCAGCCAUCCUCAAACUGGGCAGAAAAGCCUGAAAUCACUGCAAGGAGCAGUGCUCUCCCCUUCUGAGCAGGAAAGGGAGAGCAAAACCAGCACUGCAUUUAUCUGUAAGUGCUCAAAUUAAGAGUAGAAAUAAGAUUUCCACUAUGAUGACAAAUUAAUUCUUCCUUUCAUAAUUUUAUUAAAAUAAGCAUCUUCUAUCUUUUAACUAGACCUGACAUAUGCUUACAUAGAUACAACACACCAUGUAACCUAAUCUGCCAGCAAUCUUGAAGCAAUUAACUCCUUCUAAUCUUUAGCUAACAAAGCCCACCAUGCAAAAGGCCCCCGGAGAACAGCACUCCAAAGGCCGCCGUAAGCUCCCUCCAACUAUUCCCCUAUUAUUCGGUGUGUAGGAGCUCAUUGGAGUGCUCGGAGAGCAGGGAUUCGUUUGAAACAACAAAGAUGAAUCAUCACAGAUCAUAAGAUCUUCAUUAACUCCUUAUUUCUCUACUAAUUAACACAAAAGGAAUGACUUGAAUGGUUGACAGG